UCCUCUUCCUCCUUCCAGUCUUCCCCUGCCAGCUUCUACUCCACUCCUGUCCCUGCCAUUUUCCACCAUUGUUUUCGUCAUGCAUUUUGUUCAUCUCUUUUCCUUGUCCUUACGUGGUUCCUUAUCUCAUUGGCAAAACCCCUUUGUUUUUAGUAAUUAAUCAUGAAGUUAUGCCUUAGUUUUUCAAUUGAUAGUUUCCCAACUAGAGAAUAGUAUAAAAAAUUAAUUCAGUGCCCGAGAGAAUGGUAGAGAAGACCUCUAUAGUUUGGAUGGAUUGACUCCUCGGGCAGCAUCAAGUGCUGUUAACAUGCUUCUAGAAUUGCUAGCUGACAUCCCCAUUUGAUCUUUUUUGACAUCAAUUUCUAGGGCACUGCAGAUGAUGUUGUGGAUUGUUCUCAUGGUAAGCAGCUGUU
This 413-nucleotide long non-coding RNA is filed under the name Nicotiana benthamiana. RNAcentral describes it as "long non-coding RNA (NBEN_LNC002175)". Lineage: Eukaryota; Viridiplantae; Streptophyta; Magnoliopsida; Solanales; Solanaceae. The record is from RNAcentral.